Molecule: ribosomal RNA, 298 nt
Filed under: uncultured Pseudomonas sp.
Lineage: Bacteria; Pseudomonadati; Pseudomonadota; Gammaproteobacteria; Pseudomonadales; Pseudomonadaceae
Description: partial 16S ribosomal RNA
Rfam family: Bacterial small subunit ribosomal RNA
Source: RNAcentral
UCCCGUAACGAGCGCAACCCUUGUCCUUAGUUACCAGCACGUUAUGGUGGCACUCUAAGGAGACUGCCGGUGGACAAACCGGAGGAAGGUGGGGAUGACGUCAAGUCAUCAUGGCCCUUACGGCCUGGGCUACACACGUGCUACAAUGGUCGGUACAAAGGGUUGCCAAGCCGCGAGGUGGAGCUAAUCCCAUAAAACCGAUCGUAGUCCGGAUCGCAGUCUGCAACUCGACUGCGUGAAGUCGGAAUCGCUAGUAAUCGUGAAUCAGAAUGUCACGGUGAAUACGUUCCCGGGCCUU